AUGGCCACUUUUGCUCUCACAGCCCUGCGAGUGCCAAAGAAAUUCUAUAAAGAUGUAGACAAAUCACGGCGGCGUUUCCUUUGUGCGGGAGAUGAGGAGCUGUCCGGUGGAAAGUGCAAGGUGGGCUGGAGCACAGUGACCACGCCGGAGGAGUAUGGUGGCCUCGGCGUCCACGAUCUUCCUAGAUUCGCCAGGGCGCUACGCCUGCGAUGGCUAUGGCAAUCCUGGCAACACCCAGAAAGACCUUGGGUAGGAACGGGCUCGCCCUGUGAUGCCUCGGACAGGGCCCUGUUUGCUGCCUCCACAGCGGUGAUCAUCGGAGAUGGGGCGACGGCUUCGUUCUGGUUCUGCUCAUGG
This 357-nucleotide ribosomal RNA is filed under the name Triticum aestivum (bread wheat). RNAcentral describes it as "partial small subunit ribosomal RNA". The record is from RNAcentral. Lineage: Eukaryota; Viridiplantae; Streptophyta; Magnoliopsida; Poales; Poaceae.